AGGUUAAAACGUUUCCAACACCUGUGGAGAAAAGGAUGAUCUUCUACGACCUGAUGCAACCAAUCACUGCUCAGUACUGGCGUCUCAAAUCAGCUGAGGAUAAAUGGGUUGGAGUAACUGAGUUUGCUUUGAAACCUUUGAUUACACCCUGAAUAAACGCAAGCGAAACGUCAUUCCUCCGCAUCUUAUUACCACGAAGUGCAAAGUUGCAUCUGUUUUAUAUUUUUUAUUCUAUUGCCAGUAAUUAUAAUAUGUAGUUGGGAAACUAUUAUUGAUUUUAAUAAAGUGUUUUAAAGUACCAUUUAUUCAUUGAACAAAUUUUUCAUUUGUUGUCUGACUAUUGGUAAGAAACAAACAACUGGCAUAAUUAGAGAAUUCUAAAUUUGGUCGCAUGCAAGUGGGUGUGAACAGAACUAUAUUUUGUCUUUAGGAAUUAAUAAAAUUUUUACUGCCCUUUUCAAGAACGAAGAGAAUUAAAAUAA
This is a non-coding RNA of Paramuricea clavata, 482 nucleotides long. The record is from the annotation of a GenBank genome assembly. Lineage: Eukaryota; Metazoa; Cnidaria; Anthozoa; Malacalcyonacea; Plexauridae.